This 73-nucleotide transfer RNA is filed under the name Planctomycetota bacterium. RNAcentral describes it as "Planctomycetes bacterium tRNA-Ala". It matches the Rfam family "tRNA". From Rfam's summary of the family: Transfer RNA (tRNA) molecules are approximately 80 nucleotides in length. Their secondary structure includes four short double-helical elements and three loops (D, anti-codon, and T loops). The record is from RNAcentral. RNAcentral also lists the same sequence under 1 other name. Lineage: Bacteria; Pseudomonadati; Planctomycetota.
GGGGCCUUAGCUCAGUUGGGAGAGCGCUUGCAUGGCAUGCAAGAAGUCGUCGGUUCGAGUCCGAUAGGCUCCA